Molecule: ribosomal RNA, 403 nt
Filed under: bacterium
Lineage: Bacteria
Description: partial 16S ribosomal RNA
Rfam family: Bacterial small subunit ribosomal RNA
Source: RNAcentral
UGGGGAAUAUUGCACAAUGGGGGAAACCCUGAUGCAGCGACGCCGCGUGAACGAAGAAGGUAUUCGUAUCGUAAAGUUCUGUCCUAUGGGAAGAUAAUGACAGUACCAUAGAAGAAAGCUCCGGCUAAAUACGUGCCAGCAGCCGCGGUAAUACGUAUGGAGCGAGCGUUGUCCGGAAUUAUUGGGCGUAAAGGGUACGCAGGCGGUUUAAUAAGUCGAAUGUUAAAGAUCGGGGCUCAACCCCGCAAAGCAUUGGAAACUGAUAAACUUGAGUAGUGGAGAGGAAAGUGGAAUUCCUAGUGUAGUGGUGAAAUACGUGGAUAUUAGGAGGAAUACCAGUAGCGAAGGCGACUUUCUGGACACAAACUGACGCUGAGGUACGAAAGCGUGGGGAGCAAACAGG